AACCUACUCCCAUUACAGAUGCUUAACGUGUUAAAAUAGUCUCACUCUGAUGCUUCCUAGUUUCAUAGAUGACUUGAUUUUACAUCAAUAAUACUCAAAGUGCUUAUUCUAAACACAUACAGGCAGUGCAGAUGGAGGCAAUUGUUUCUGCAGCAACAAGGGCCACGUGAAAGUGAUAGGGAAACCUCUACUCCAUCACCGCGUCCGCUCCUCAGCUCACUCUUGCUGUAGGCCUGAGUUUACUGCUUCAUGGUUUUGAGAGAUUGAAAAAUCCAACAAUCUACCUUUGAAUAUGGACCACAGAAAAGAUAUUUAAAAGUUCCCUUCCUAAGAUUGUCUGUGGAAUGACUUCAGAAGAGGAUCCAUCACACUGAAGGUGCAGAUCCUGACUCUAGAGAUCAGAGCUGCCUGACUGAGAGGUUGAUGGCUAUGGACACUCCAGGACAAGGCCCAUACCCUGUGUAACUUUGCAAGAGUGGAGCUGGACGUGCAGAACUACUUGCCUCAAAUACUGGCUCUGAAAGAUUGAAGGUCAUCCCCAAGCAUCUUUCAUAACCAUCAGCUUGUUAGAGCCCAGGUAGAAACACUAAGGUUUCAUUUGCGAGAGGCAGGGGAAGGCAGGAAACAGGGGAUUAAACUUUCAAGCUGCAAAUAAAAUAAACUCUGGCCUCAGUCCUCUGAAGAUCAGGAUGCCCAACCACCUAUUUCCUUCAGAAAGGGUGAAGAGUGGGCCCUCCUCACCCCUAGUGUGGCCAUAAUU
This 760-nucleotide long non-coding RNA is filed under the name Equus caballus (horse). RNAcentral's name for it is "lncRNA (ENSECAG00000044076.1)". The record is from RNAcentral. Lineage: Eukaryota; Metazoa; Chordata; Mammalia; Perissodactyla; Equidae.